ACGAGUGGCGCACGGGUGAGUAAUAUCUGGGGAUCUGCCUGAAGGAGAGGGAUAACUGUUAGAAAUGAUAGCUAAUACCGCAUAAUGUUGUAAAACCAAAGUAGGGGACCAUUAUAGGCCUUAUGCCUUCAGAUGAACUCAGACAAGAUUAGCUAGUAGGUAAGGUAAAGGCUUACCUAGGCUACGAUCUUUAGCUGGUCUGAGAGGAUGAUCAGCCACACUGGAACUGAGACACGGUCCAG
This 242-nucleotide ribosomal RNA is filed under the name uncultured bacterium. RNAcentral's name for it is "partial 16S ribosomal RNA". It matches the Rfam family "Bacterial small subunit ribosomal RNA", at positions 91 to 334 of the family's 1533-position model. The record is from RNAcentral.